GUGGGGAAUAUUGGACAAUGGGCGAAAGCCUGAUCCAGCCAUGCCGCGUGUGUGAAGAAGGUCUUCGGAUUGUAAAGCACUUUAAGUUGGGAGGAAGGGCAGUAAGUUAAUACCUUGCUGUUUUGACGUUACCGACAGAAUAAGCACCGGCUAACUUCGUGCCAGCAGCCGCGGUAAUACGAAGGGUGCAAGCGUUAAUCGGAAUUACUGGCCGUAAAGCGCGCGUAGGUGGUUUUGUAAGUUGGAGGUGAAAUCCCCGGGCUCAACCUGGGAACUGCCUCCAAAACUGCAUGACUAGAGUACGGUAGAGGGUAGUGGAAUUUCCUGUGUAGCGGUGAAAUGCGUAGAUAUAGGAAGGAACACCAGUGGCGAAGGCGACUACCUGGACUGAUACUGACACUGAGGUGCGAAAGCGUGGGGAGCAAACAGGAUUAGAAACCCGUGUAGUCC
RNAcentral lists this ribosomal RNA (450 nucleotides) under uncultured bacterium. Its description in RNAcentral is "partial 16S ribosomal RNA". It matches the Rfam family "Bacterial small subunit ribosomal RNA", at positions 354 to 796 of the family's 1533-position model. The record is from RNAcentral.